Oryza sativa Japonica Group (Japanese rice) is the source of this 684-nucleotide long non-coding RNA. RefSeq lists it as uncharacterized. NCBI's taxonomy places the organism in Eukaryota, Viridiplantae, Streptophyta, Magnoliopsida, Poales, Poaceae. The record is from RefSeq and is a predicted model, not a curated record.
CGCGCGCAGCGUGGAGGCGGCGGCGAGAGCCCGCGGGCUUGCGCGAGGCGGCGGCGGCCAAGGGCGUGGGGGCGGCACGCGUCGGCCUCGUCGAGGGCAGGCGGGCGGCCGCGUAUUAGUACCUCAAGGCGCUGCGGCGGUGGCGGGCCAAGGCCUACAUCUACUCCAGCGGAAGCAGGGAGGUCCAGCGCCUCAUCUUCGCCAACACCGCUGCAGCAGGGAGACUGUAGGCCUUGAGGUGCUAAUAUCUGUCAGGCCUAUCCAGGAGGUAGCCAGCCGGCGGCAACGGCUGUUCCACGCCGACAUGUGAUGUGUGCAAUUAUGUCUGUAGACACUAAGUAAUGUUUAUCGUCGAUGACUUAUAUGUACCGUGGCUUAUCUGUAUGAGACACUUUGUAAUGCUUGCUAUAUACUCCCUCCAUUUUAAAAUGUUUGACACGGUUGACUUUUUAGUAUAUGUUUGACCAUUCGUCUUAUUAAAAAAAUUUAAGUAAUUAUUUAUUUUUUUCAUAUCAUUUGAUUCACUGUUAAAUAUAUUUUCAUGUACAUAUAGUUUUACAUAUUUUACAAAUAUUUUUGAAUAAGACGAACGGUUAAACAUGUGCUAAAAAGUCAACGGUGUCAAACAUUUUGAAACGGAGGAAGUAUGUGGCUUGUGCUAGUUGUGCCAAAAUUCUGUCCAAA